This is a long non-coding RNA of Cucumis sativus (cucumber), 652 nucleotides long. RefSeq lists it as uncharacterized. The transcript is spliced from 4 exons. The record is from RefSeq and is a predicted model, not a curated record. NCBI's taxonomy places the organism in Eukaryota, Viridiplantae, Streptophyta, Magnoliopsida, Cucurbitales, Cucurbitaceae.
UUAUAAAACAACAAUAACUGUAGCUUUGUUUGUUUCCUCAUCACCACUCCAUUUUUGUGAACUAUGUUAAGGUCUCACUUAAAGACUGGAGCUACCACAACAAUUUUCGUUUUCAACUUGAAAUUGUUCGCACAAGGACCAUGUUUAUGAGGACUUUCUUGCUAUUAUAGUCAUCCUAUCAGGAGGAGCCCCAGACUUCUAUGGUUUUAUGUUAUUUUACAGAUUGAAAAAAGUUCGUUCCGAUCGAGGAAGCUUCUUCAGAGGUGAAGUUAAUUGACUCAAGUUAUAUAUAAUUACUGUGUAAUUCUUUUCUCUCUCCUUUCAGUUGAAGUGUUAGUUCCUGAAUUUGUAUGGAUGUGGAUGUGACAUCCGUUAAGAUUAAAUUGCUUAAUAAUUUAAAAUCAAAGAUAUUAUCCAUAAAGUAUACAUUGUAGGACCUUUAUCUGAAAUUUAAUAAAUCUCAAGAUUCGAGAAUAAUUCUAUUACAUGCAGGUUGGUGGUCUAGCAGUUGUAUGUGUUGUAUGUUUUACAUCAAGUGCUUUGGUAGAUCUUCUUACGGAUAUUCCUAUUUCUUAUAAUUGGCGCUUCAAGAGAACAAAUGGAGUAGAGGCAUCAGUCAUUUUAUGUUUGUACUUCUGCAUGGGUAUGUCCU